CGGACCAGGCUUCAUUCCCC
This 20-nucleotide non-coding RNA is filed under the name Arabidopsis thaliana (thale cress). RNAcentral also lists the same sequence under 3 other names. Lineage: Eukaryota; Viridiplantae; Streptophyta; Magnoliopsida; Brassicales; Brassicaceae. The record is from RNAcentral.